AGAGUUUGAUCAUGGCUCAGAUUGAACGCUGGCGGCAGGCCUAACACAUGCAAGUCGAACGGUAACAGGAAACAGCUUGCUGUUUCGCUGACGAGUGGCGGACGGGUGAGUAAUGUCUGGGAAACUGCCUGAUGGAGGGGGAUAACUACUGGAAACGGUAGCUAAUACCGCAUAACGUCGCAAGACCAAAGAGGGGGACCUUAGGGCCUCUUGCCAUCGGAUGUGCCCAGAUGGGAUUAGCUAGUAGGUGGGGUAACGGCUCACCUAGGCGACGAUCCCUAGCUGGUCUGAGAGGAUGACCAGCCACACUGGAACUGAGACACGGUCCAGGCUCCUACGGGAGGCAGCAGUGGGGAAUAUUGCACAAUGGGCGCAAGCCUGAUGCAGCCAUGCCGCGUGUAUGAAGAAGGCCUUCGGGUUGUAAAGUCUUUUCAGCGGGGAGGAAGGGAGUAAAGUUAAUACCUUUGCUCAUUGACGUUACCCGCAGAAGAAGCACCGGCUAACUCCGUGCCAGCAGCCGCGAUAAUACGGAGGGUGCAAGCGUUAAUCGGAAUUACUGGGCGUAAAGCGCACGCAGGCGGUUUGUUAAGUCAGAUGUGAAAUCCCCGGGCUCAACCUGGGAACUGCAUCUGAUACUGGCAAGCUUGAGUCUCGUAGAGGGGGGUAGAAUUCCAGGUGUAGCGGUGAAAUGCGUAGAGAUCUGGAGGAAUACCGGUGGCGAAGGCGGCCCCCUGGACGAAGACUGACGCUCAGGUGCGAAAGCGUGGGGAGCAAACAGGAUUAGAUACCCUGGUAGUCCA
This 800-nucleotide ribosomal RNA is filed under the name uncultured bacterium. Its description in RNAcentral is "bacterial SSU rRNA". It matches the Rfam family "Bacterial small subunit ribosomal RNA", at positions 8 to 797 of the family's 1533-position model. The record is from RNAcentral.